Molecule: non-coding RNA, 29 nt
Filed under: Mus musculus (house mouse)
Lineage: Eukaryota; Metazoa; Chordata; Mammalia; Rodentia; Muridae
Source: RNAcentral
UUAUUAGGUAGACCUGUGCCGAUAGGUGU